RNAcentral lists this long non-coding RNA (871 nucleotides) under Anser brachyrhynchus (Pink-footed goose). RNAcentral describes it as "lncRNA (ENSABRG00000013760.1)". Lineage: Eukaryota; Metazoa; Chordata; Aves; Anseriformes; Anatidae. The record is from RNAcentral.
CUCAAAUCAUGAUGAAAAGUUGCUUACUGUGAUAGCAGAGAACAGGUCUUGAAAAUGCAUGAGAUCACCUCUAGUCAUCCUGUUUAAUAUUUGUUGAACUAUACUUGUUAGGCCUAAAAAGAACAUUUGCAAGAUAUGGACAAAAGAAAGGAGUCUCUCUAGUGCUGCUCAUAUGAAUAAGGCAAGCACUUAAAUGAGGCCAACUGGAUCCAACUAGAAGCCAAAUGUUUCUGUCAAGCCUGUGUAAUCUUGAAGCAUCCCUUUGUUCCUCAGGGAUGCCUGGUGGUUCUGCUGAGCUGGCACACAGCGCAUGGGGGCACCGCUCUCAGCUCUGCAUCCCCUUCCACCAGCAGCUUGGUGUGGCUGUCCUCCAGCAAGCACAAGAUGAUGUGAGACCAAUGGAGUAAGCUCCCUGCAGCUUUAGUCCUCCCAUCCCAGAAGAAAAUCUGUGAAUGUUAAAAUAUCCAAGGUGGAUACGUUCCAGUCAUUUCUUUUGCCUUGAAUGUAGCUUUUGUAUACACUAUCAGUAGGGUAGUAGCUUUUGAAUACACUAUCAAAACCCAACAGAUUUACCAUAUGAGAUUUUUUGGAGUGUAUUAGCCCCCUCAUAUGCUGAAUCUGAGAAAAGCUGAAUACCUGAUUCCACUGAUCUGACCUGGUUAAAUGGUUCUUAUAAAUGCCGUCAUUUCCUACUGUUUAUGCAAUUUCUCCUUAUCUAAUCAUUUUCAGGAGGAAAGUCAGGGGUUGUACAGUCAGGAUCCAUAAAACAUGAUCAAGAAAGUCUAGCUGAUUUUCUGCAAGUUUUAAUCAUUUUUACAGAGAUCCACUACUGGGAGAUUUCUAGUGGUUAACAAAUAAAAGAAGUUGAAAG